RNAcentral lists this ribosomal RNA (253 nucleotides) under uncultured bacterium. RNAcentral's name for it is "partial 16S ribosomal RNA". It matches the Rfam family "Bacterial small subunit ribosomal RNA", at positions 524 to 776 of the family's 1533-position model. The record is from RNAcentral.
UACGUAGGGGGCAAGCGUUGUCCGGAAUCAUUGGGCGUAAAGAGCGUGUAGGCGGCUCGGUAAGUCCGCUGUGAAAGUCCAGGGCUCAACCCUGGAAUGCCGGUGGAAACUGUCGAGCUAGAGUCCGGAAGAGGCGAGUGGAAUUCCUGGUGUAGCGGUGAAAUGCGCAGAUAUCAGGAGGAACACCGAUGGCGAAGGCAGGUCUCUGGGCCGAUACUGACGCUGAGGAGCGAAAGCGUGGGGAGCGAACAGG